This 500-nucleotide ribosomal RNA is filed under the name uncultured bacterium. Its description in RNAcentral is "partial 16S ribosomal RNA". It matches the Rfam family "Bacterial small subunit ribosomal RNA", at positions 30 to 523 of the family's 1533-position model. The record is from RNAcentral.
AUUGAACGCUGGCGGCAGGCCUAACACAUGCAAGUCGAGCGGAUGAGAGGAGCUUGCUCUUCGAUUCAGCGGCGGACGGGUGAGUAAUGCCUAGGAAUCUGCCUAGUAGUGGGGGACAACGUUUCGAAAGGAACGCUAAUACCGCAUACGUCCUACGGGAGAAAGUGGGGGAUCUUCGGACCUCACGCUAGUAGAUGAGCCUAGGUCGGAGUAGCUAGUUGGUAGGGUAACGGCCUACCAAGGCGACGAUCCGUAACUGGUCUGAGAGGAUGAUCAGUCACACUGGAACUGAGACACGGUCCAGACUCCUACGGGAGGCAGCAGUGGGGAAUAUUGGACAAUGGGCGAAAGCCUGAUCCAGCCAUGCCGCGUGUGUGAAGAAGGCCCUCGGGUCGUAAAGCACUUUAAGUUGGGAGGAAGGGCUUACAGCGAAUACCUGUGAGUUUUGACGUUACCGACAGAAUAAGCACCGGCUAACUUCGUGCCAGCCGCCGCGGUAA